Molecule: ribosomal RNA, 351 nt
Filed under: uncultured bacterium
Lineage: Bacteria
Description: bacterial SSU rRNA
Rfam family: Bacterial small subunit ribosomal RNA
Source: RNAcentral
AGAGUUUGAUCCUGGCUCAGGAUGAACGCUAGCUACAGGCUUAACACAUGCAAGUCGAGGGGCAGCAUGGUCUUAGCUUGCUAAGGCCGAUGGCGACCGGCGCACGGGUGAGUAACGCGUAUCCAACCUGCCUUACACUCUUGGACAGCCUUCUGAAAGGGAGAUUAAUACAAGAUGUUAUCAUGAGUAAGCAUUUUCGCAUGAUUAAAGGUUUACCGGUGUAAGAUGGGGAUGCGUUCCAUUAGAUAGUAGGCGGGUAACGGCCACCUAGUCUUCGAUGGAUAGGGGUUCUGGAGAGGAAGGUCCCCCANAUUGGAACUGAGACACGGUCCAAACUCCGUACGGGAGGCA